UCUUGCGCACCGAAGUUAAGACCCCAGCGCGGAGAGAGCUCCAAGGCCCCGCCUCUGGUGUGUGGGCGGCUUGAAGAUUGCAGGUGAGCACGCUGUACCUACCCUUAAAGGCAUGGAGAAAAAACAUAUUAGGCACUACAAAGAAAACAAGUCACCUACUAAAGACUUGCUUCUGCCAUUGUGAAAGGAGGGGACACCGGUGAAUAAAGGCUGAUCGGUGGUGGUUUUGCUCUUUCUCUAGCAAGAAGGAAGCCAAGUACUGCACCAGGCUACACUGUAUGCUGCAACUGUUCAGAAGAGAAACUCAGUCUGUUUUCUGAACUUUGAAAGCAGCCAGUUGUUACCCACCCUAUCCUGCACACAUGUGGCCUCAGCGGUGAAUGUGGACAGGGGAUGGGAACUGUUAGCAUCAGUCAGUUCACUGAGAAGAUUUUCACACCUAUGAUGCAUCCCUAUAUCUUGGGGUCUUUGUGAAUGUUAUUUGACUUCCUUCACUCUACUAACUCCAACUUCACCUCACACCCAUUCCCGGGCCCUGAUCAGGUGGGGCAAGGCGGGUGCAGAAGUUGGUGCAGGCACUGAGAGGAUGAGUCAAGAACAGAGAGGAAAUAAGACUCAACAGCCUUCUCUUCAGCCUGGAGAUACUUCCUCUUCCUUGAGGUUUCCUAAUUGGCUUCCUCUCAUUCCUAUUUUUUCACCGCAAAAUUAAGUCAUCACUGGUGCUCAGAAUAAGCCCAAGUUCUCUUGAGAUAACUGGGGGAGAGAGAGUAAAUGAAUGAGGUGUCUAAUCAUUAUAACCAAUAUUUUCAGUCACUAAUUUAGGAACUAGUUCUUGAGAACCCAGGUACUGAUGAGAAAGCAGAGUGCUCCAGUUUUACUUCCUACUUGCUUUGAAAGUACCUGAUAGACCUCAGCUGAGAUCCACAACUUCUAGUGUGCAAUUCAUCCAUCGUGGUGAGAAAAAGGCAAGUUUCAAGAAUCAACCACAGACAACAGAUUAAACACUUUUCCAGACUAAA
This is a long non-coding RNA of Capra hircus (goat), 1019 nucleotides long. RefSeq lists it as uncharacterized. Lineage: Eukaryota; Metazoa; Chordata; Mammalia; Artiodactyla; Bovidae. The transcript has 2 exons. The record is from RefSeq and is a predicted model, not a curated record.